UAAUGGGGCGUUUUUUUUAAAAAAAAUUGCCCCAAAACGCCCUAAAACGCCCAACCCCCCACUACAGGGGGCGUUUUCCGGCGUGAUUUUCGAAAAAAAUCCCGUUCGGCGUUUAAAUUAUAACGCUGCCACCAUCUUUCGACCCCCAUCUUUCGACCGUUGCCAUCUUUCGACCCCCCAUCUUUCGACCGUUGACAUCUUUCGACCCCCCAUCUUUCGACCGUUGCCAUCUUUCGACCCCCCAUCUUUCGACCCCCCAUCUUUCGAAUGGGGCAUUAUGGGGCAUUAUACCCACUACACCACUUUUGCUAUAAUGCCCCCUUGCUGACUAGGACGCCACAUGGCGCAAAACGCCCCAUGGUGGGGGCAUUAUAGUGUUCUACCACUAUACAUGGUCUAACUGAUCAUUCUCUUUUUCUGAUUUUAUUUUAUUUACAUUUUUUUUCUUUUUGUUUCUCAAUUCUAACAUUUUUAUUUUUUUUUUGUUUCAUAUAAACUGGUUUAGUGUUAUGUUUUUUUUUUUUUAAAACUGGAUUGGAUAUUGGAUUGGUAUUUGGUGGUCUUAUUGGUUUAGACGUUUAGUGUUUGGAUUGGAUGAAUUGGUUUUAAACAUUGAAAUUUGGAUGAAUUGUUCUACUCUCUAG
Molecule: long non-coding RNA, 644 nt
Filed under: Helianthus annuus (common sunflower)
Lineage: Eukaryota; Viridiplantae; Streptophyta; Magnoliopsida; Asterales; Asteraceae
Description: hypothetical non coding rna
Source: RNAcentral